RNAcentral lists this unclassified non-coding RNA (282 nucleotides) under uncultured fungus. RNAcentral describes it as "partial contains small subunit ribosomal RNA, internal transcribed spacer 1, and 5.8S ribosomal RNA". The stretch from base 1 to 73 matches the Rfam family "Eukaryotic small subunit ribosomal RNA", at positions 1759 to 1831 of the family's 1831-position model. The record is from RNAcentral. Lineage: Eukaryota; Fungi.
ACAAACUUGGUCAUUUAGAGGAAGUAAAAGUCGUAACAAGGUUUCCGUAGGUGAACCUGCGGAAGGAUCAUUAAAGAUUCGGGAACUCGCGUCCCGCCUCUCUGGCUGUGCGUCUCGCACGCCAGAAAAAACCUCACACCUGUGCGCGUCUUCGGUUGCGGCCUUUGCGGGUCGCCUCCGCCUCUUAUGUUACAAGUGUAGUCUCGAGUGUAAUAAAAUUUGUUAAUCUUAACAACUUUCAACAACGGAUCUCUUGGCUCUCGCAUCGAUGAAGAACGCAGC